UGGGGAAUAUUGGACAAUGGGGGCAACCCUGAUCCAGCGACGCCGCGUGGGUGAAGAAGGCCUGCGGGUUGUAAAGCCCUUUCGGUGGGGAAGAAAAGCCUCGAGCUAACAUCUCGGGGUCUUGACGUAACCCAUUAAAGAAGCACCGGCUAACUCUGUGCCAGCAGCCGCGGUAAUACAGAGGGUGCGAGCGUUAAUCGGAAUUACUGGGCGUAAAGCGCGCGUAGGCGGCUUUGCAAGUCGAGUGUGAAAUCCCCAGGCUUAACCUGGGAACUGCAUUCGAGACUGCAUAGCUAGAGUAUGGGAGAGGGAAGUGGAAUUUCAGGUGUAGCGGUGAAAUGCGUAGAUAUCUGAAGGAACAUCAGUGGCGAAAGCGACUUCCUGGACCAAUACUGACGCUCAUGUGCGAAAGCGUGGGGAGCAAACA
RNAcentral lists this ribosomal RNA (427 nucleotides) under uncultured Steroidobacter sp. RNAcentral's name for it is "bacterial SSU rRNA". It matches the Rfam family "Bacterial small subunit ribosomal RNA", at positions 355 to 774 of the family's 1533-position model. Lineage: Bacteria; Pseudomonadati; Pseudomonadota; Gammaproteobacteria; Steroidobacterales; Steroidobacteraceae. The record is from RNAcentral.